RNAcentral lists this unclassified non-coding RNA (293 nucleotides) under uncultured Sebacina. RNAcentral's name for it is "sequence contains 5.8S rRNA gene". The record is from RNAcentral. Lineage: Eukaryota; Fungi; Basidiomycota; Agaricomycetes; Sebacinales; Sebacinaceae.
GAACGCACCUUGCACCCUUUGGCAUUCCGAAGGGUAUGCUCGUUUGAGUGUCAUUGUACUCUCACACUUCCAAUCUUUGGAUUGGGAGCGGUGGACUUGGGUGUUGCUGCUUACUGUGGCUCACCUCAAAUCGAUUCGUGCACCUCUUGGUUGGACAUAGUACGGCGUGAUAAGUGUCUUCGCCGGCACCUCAGUAGAGGGUGGCUGAUCGGGAGCUCUGUGCUUCAAACCGUCCUCGGACAACAACUGACAACUUGACCUCAAAUCGAGUAGGACUACCCGCUGAACUUAAG